This is a long non-coding RNA of Ornithorhynchus anatinus (platypus), 645 nucleotides long. RefSeq lists it as uncharacterized. The record is from RefSeq and is a predicted model, not a curated record. The transcript has 4 exons. NCBI's taxonomy places the organism in Eukaryota, Metazoa, Chordata, Mammalia, Monotremata, Ornithorhynchidae.
AUGACCCCUCUCCAGAAAACGGGCACUUCAUCGCAGGCCGAACGAUCCACUCCCUGUCGAGUGUCCCGGGAAAAUCCCCAGCACCCUCCUCCUCACCGCCUCCGAAGAGCAGAAACACAGAUGAAGGAAUUAGAUGCCUGUCGAGGAGAUUCGAAAGAAAGUACCUCAUUACUCCAUUAGACUUGAACUUUGCUUGCUCCAGCACUUAAGAAAAUCUCAUUGAAGAAAGACCUCAUUGGAUUUUCCCAGAGCAAUGCUUUCCAAACUUCAGGUUAUUUUGAGAAAUCAGGGCUUGUCUUCAAAAUUCCCAAUCAGAUCAGUAUUUGCUCCAUGGCAAUCCAAGGGAUUUCCACAGACCCCCUCAGCCACUGAAGGGGGAUGGAGCAUUAGCACCUCCAGGAGAAUCUCUCAGAUCACCAGGGCCAUUUGGGAUGUGGCCACUUGGUCACGCUGAAAUGACUCCAAGCAGAAGAGGAGGACAAAGAGCCUGGAAAGGCAAAAAGAGCUAGAAGGUCAAGGAGCCCCCACCAGAAACCUCUGAUGGAUUGCUGAGUAUCCCACCCCCUGGGCCAUGGGGUGGAGAAAACUGCACUGGACUAAGUCCUUACCUUUGAGAAGUCCCGCUUCAACCGAACCCAAGCAGGA